AACGAACGCUGGCGGCAUGCCUAACACAUGCAAGUCGAACGAGGCCCUUCGGGGUUUAGUGGCGCACGGGUGCGUAACGCGUGGGAAUCUGCCCUUUGGUUCGGAAUAACAGCUGGAAACGGCUGCUAAUACCGGAUGAUGACGAAAGUCCAAAGAUUUAUCGCCAGAGGAUGAGCCCGCGUUGGAUUAGGUAGUUGGUGGGGUAAAGGCCUACCAAGCCGACGAUCCAUAGCUGGUCUGAGAGGAUGAUCAGCCACACUGGGACUGAGACACGGCCCAGACUCCUACGGGAGGCAGCAGUGGGGAAUAUUGGACAAUGGGCGCAAGCCUGAUCCAGCAAUGCCGCGUGAGUGAUGAAGGCCCUAGGGUUGUAAAGCUCCUUUACCCGGGAAGAUAAUGACUGUACCGGGAGAAUAAGCCCCGGCUAACUCCGUGCCAGCU
RNAcentral lists this ribosomal RNA (441 nucleotides) under uncultured bacterium. RNAcentral describes it as "bacterial SSU rRNA". It matches the Rfam family "Bacterial small subunit ribosomal RNA", at positions 29 to 513 of the family's 1533-position model. The record is from RNAcentral.